UGGGGAAUUUUGGACAAUGGGCGAAAGCCUGAUCCAGCAAUGCCGCGUGUGUGAAGAAGGCCUUCGGGUUGUAAAGCACUUUUGUCCGGAAAGAAAUCCUUGGCUCUAAUACAGUCGGGGGAUGACGGUACCGGAAGAAUAAGCACCGGCUAACUACGUGCCAGCAGCCGCGGUAAUACGUAGGGUGCAAGCGUUAAUCGGAAUUACUGGGCGUAAAGCGUGCGCAGGCGGUUUGCUAAGACCGAUGUGAAAUCCCCGGGCUCAACCUGGGAACUGCAUUGGUGACUGGCAGGCUAGAGUAUGGCAGAGGGGGGUAGAAUUCCACGUGUAGCAGUGAAAUGCGUAGAGAUGUGGAGGAAUACCGAUGGCGAAGGCAGCCCCCUGGGCCAAUACUGACGCUCAUGCACGAAAGCGUGGGGAGCAAAACAGGAUUAGAUACCCCUGGUAGUCCACGCCCUAAACGAUGUCAACUAGUUGUUGGGGAUUCAUUUCCUUAGUAACGUAGCUAACGCGUGAAGUUGACCGCCUGGGGAGUACGGUCGCAAGAUUAAAACUCAAAGGAAUUGAC
RNAcentral lists this ribosomal RNA (568 nucleotides) under uncultured bacterium. RNAcentral describes it as "partial 16S ribosomal RNA". It matches the Rfam family "Bacterial small subunit ribosomal RNA", at positions 355 to 914 of the family's 1533-position model. The record is from RNAcentral.